AUAGCUCAGUUGGUUUAGAGCAUCCGGCUGUUUCGCUGGAGGGGCCUUGGUUCGAAUCCAAGUGUUCCCA
RNAcentral lists this transfer RNA (70 nucleotides) under Sphingobacteriaceae bacterium. RNAcentral describes it as "tRNA-OTHER". It matches the Rfam family "tRNA". Rfam says of the family: Transfer RNA (tRNA) molecules are approximately 80 nucleotides in length. Lineage: Bacteria; Pseudomonadati; Bacteroidota; Sphingobacteriia; Sphingobacteriales; Sphingobacteriaceae. The record is from RNAcentral. RNAcentral also lists the same sequence under 1 other name.